GCAGAGGUAGCCAAACGUCGGGGUAGAUAACUCCACUGACAAAGCCAGGCCAACUCCUUGAUCACAUAGGGUCACCGGACGGCUAUAGGCGAGGGACUUAAGAUCCCUUCUCGCAGGAGUUCGCGGGAUCGAAUCCCGCCCUCUGCA
RNAcentral lists this transfer RNA (147 nucleotides) under Promethearchaeota archaeon. Its description in RNAcentral is "Candidatus Lokiarchaeota archaeon (anaerobic digester metagenome) tRNA-Leu". It matches the Rfam family "tRNA". From Rfam's summary of the family: Transfer RNA (tRNA) molecules are approximately 80 nucleotides in length. Their secondary structure includes four short double-helical elements and three loops (D, anti-codon, and T loops). Lineage: Archaea; Promethearchaeati; Promethearchaeota. The record is from RNAcentral.